Equus caballus (horse) is the source of this 6656-nucleotide long non-coding RNA. RefSeq lists it as uncharacterized. Lineage: Eukaryota; Metazoa; Chordata; Mammalia; Perissodactyla; Equidae. The record is from RefSeq and is a predicted model, not a curated record.
UUGGCUCGGAGAAAAGAGACUGCCCACUUUGAGGCCAGGUUUUGAAUGGCUGCCACUCUCAUAGCAGGCUUCUGUUCAGAAAUCAGUGUGAAGAAUGCUCUGCAUGGAGACGGCCUCUUCAUUGCCCGGCACAGAGAAUUCUCCCCCAUCCCCAGCACCUGGGCCCACUUUAAAUACAGAAAUUAGUUCAGGGCCAGACUGAGCCAAAAUAUGAUGUGUCGAAUAUGUUCAUUAUCCAUUUGGUUUGAAAGAAUCAAGGAAAUCAUUCAUAAUAAGACAUCUGAUUAUGAUAUAUGGUAUGAAUUUAAGCUAAAUCUUAAUUUCUAAAUCAAAGUAUGCUCUCUGCAGUUUCCCAGUUCCGACUGUGGGGGACUCUGGCAGGACCAUGAUGAACGGUCCCUCGUGUACUUUCAACUCACACACAUUCUCUCUCUUAAAUCUUGCCUUCUGAAAACCGACUUGUUCUGUUUGUGAAAAACGGAACUGAUAGGAUCCAAAAUUCCUAUCUGUUCUCCCUUAAGACUUCUAUUCAUCCUCCCCGUGGACAGUGAUAUUACUUUCCAAAUAGUUUCCCACUGUAUCAGUCACUGGUCCAGGAAGCUACAAUGGCACUCAGUUGCUCAAGUGGCAAAUCUUGUUUUUUGAAACAUUCGAGCUCUCCUCUGCCCCUCUGCCCUCAUGUAUAUUCUUUUUAGCAAGUUCCUACACUCCAACCCAAACACUAGGAUUGCUGAGUCCUAGUCAUUGUCAACGCUCUUCUUAUUUUCUCCCCAGAGGUGUGUCCAUCCAUCAUAAAGCCUUUCCCAACUUUGACUGCUCCAAAGUCUGCAUCCCCUUCACGUCCUCACUUUAUACACUACGCAGUACUGGGACCCCUCCCAAUUCUCAUGUAAAUCUAUCAUCUGGGGAGCUGGGCUGGAAGUCACGGGACAUAAGUUCUAAUCCUGAAUGUGCAACUAACUAGCAAUUUAAUUAACUUCCCUAUGCUUCAGUUCCUCUUCUAACAAAUGAGGAUGCUAACAGCAGCCCCAUCUCAACCUCAACUAGAGUCAUCUCAACCCUGUGAUGCUAGAAGGAGAGAAUCACAGUGUCAGAGAAUCACAGUGUCGUUAUGAUAUCUUGGUGAGGUCAACUUAACUCACUUGGCUCUGUACUGCAUAGGAAAAAUGGCAAGGCAAGAGAAAGUCAGCAAAUGCCAGAGGAAGCAAGUGCCAACCAUCUCAAAUCACAGCUGGAAAAAUACAGGCAACCUUAAGACAGGCUCAGCCUCUGUAGCAGGUGUCAGUGUCUACACAGACACAGAUCGGAGAGUGCUGAUGGUUGUGGAGCUGUAUGGGCAUGCAGAUGUGUAUUGUGACUGCCUCUGCCGGGCUAGCACUAUCCAGCAGGCAAGUCCUCUGGAGCUGAAAGCUUGCCUGGGUGUGAAGUGGAGUAGAUGCUCUAGUGGCAGUACCUAAAAUGGGAUGUGGCUGCAUCUUCCUUGAAGAAAAUUUCCCUCAAAAGCUCCUGAAAGGAAAAGGUCUCCUAGACGAUACUAUGCUGGUGCCCUUGGAGCUGGGAAUGUGUUCCGUUCUGGGCCCCGUUCUUCAGAAGGGACUCGAAAACAUGAGCACAGGCAAAGAGUAAGCAGGCUCAGGAGGCAGCUGGAAACCACCACACGUGAAGGCUGGCUGGCAGAAAUGGGUUGUUUGGCCAUAACAAGGCGAGAAUUUGGAGCCAAGUUGUCUUUACAAGUAGGACAUUUGUGUGCUAUGACACCAGAGGGCUGAGCUAGAACUAAAGGGCAGACUUUCUAUAGAGGCAAAUUUUGCCAAGAACUUUCUAGUAAUUGAAGUUGCCCUUGAAGGAAUGGGCUGCCUCAUGAGCCGUGAAUGGGCUGGGCGCGCACAAGCAGGGACUGAACUGAUGGAGAGGAGAUUUCUGCAUUGAGUGGGAGGUAGAAAUAAAGCCCCGCCCAGUACUGAGCCUGUGAUUGCACACAUGGAUUCAGGAUCUCUGCCAGGCCACCCACCCUCUCACUGGGUUACUGAAAUGGUCUCAGAGUUGUUAAUGGCUUCCAGCUGUAUCCAAAAUGCAUGGUCUUUUUUUUAACCCUUAAUAUACCUAAAUGGAGCAGAGUUGCUGCUCAGUUAGACUGGAUGGAGAACUGAAGUUAGAACUCCUGCUCUUUUCUUCCAUACCCCUCCCAGACAAUCAGGGCGGGGCCAGCCUGGGAAGUCCUUCUCCUGGGAGCCCAGAGGCUGAGUUUGGUCACAGGCUAAAAACAAUUUGUGGUCGACAUUAAGAAGUGGGGCACUGUGCUUAAGACAGUUUUGUGGUUUCUUUCUCCCCACCGCAGGUUGCCUCCUCUCCGAAGUUAUUUCCUUUUUGUCUUUCAUUCUUUUAAACCCUGAUACUCAAGGCUACAUAUACUAUUUUGAGACUUAGAGUACUUUUUUAAAAAGGCAAUUUAGGGGCUGAGUAGUCUCUCCUUAAAUUAGUUAAUUGUCUGGUCCCUGGGUGUAACCGAAUGCGUUCAGCUCUCCUCCCUUCCGCAGAUUGCUUCCCCACUCCCAAAUGCAUCUCCUCCCUUAGAUGUAAAGAAAAGGAAAGCAUCCCUUCUUGGUUCUUAGUUCUUUGAAAUAGGAGGUGACAAGCUCUGUGAACGGGGAUUCAACUUGGAUGUGACUUUGGCUCCCUAAGAUUUUGGAUCUCCAAAUCUUCUGGAGUCGAGUAAAUGGAGUCUAUCUAAAAGUUUAUUGCAUGAGUGUUAUACCAUGACCAAUCCAGUUCAAAGACUUCAGGGUGCACACAGCGCAUGCCGUAGGAUUUCCCACGAAAUAGUUGGUUUAAAAAGACCAGGGGAAAAAUGUUACAUGGGAAUAUUUUUCUGUCCGCUAAUCAAAUAUUCCCCCUUCCUUUAGGGGCAUUUUUUUUGUUUGUUUCUUUGUUUUUUGUUUUGUUUUGUUUUUACAAAGCCCUGAGAAGUACCUUGAAUAAGAUUUACUUUAUCGGCACCUGACUGGAUUAGCAAAAUUGAUGAAUUAACUUCUCCCACAGUCGGGAAAAUGAAAUCCAGAACAUACGUUUGUGCACUUGGGGAAAACAGGGUGCAGGGGCAAAGUGAGGCUAAAGGUCAAAUAUUUGUUAAAUUUGUACAGAACAUUAAGCUGGAGAGAGGGAGCUAAUUAAAAUUUUCAGAGUAAUUGCUAAAAUCACUGGAAAGUGUAAUGUCUAAAUCUAGCAGGGCAGAAGCAGCCAUUUGCAUCUUUUUGGCAGCUCUUCUUUGGGCAUAUGGAAACCAUGGUUUAUUUCUUUACAGUAUUCUCCUACUUAUUUGUGAAGUAGUCUUUAGCCUUCCAAGAAUCUUCCAUCCGUCCACGGAAGGCCCCGGUGAAAUGGUUCAUCUUUGCAUUUCCUCUGAAGACUUUUUGAAUUCUUCAAUGGUGACAGCUUACGUUUUCUUUUUCUCUCUUUCUCUUUUGUUGCUUAGGUUCAUUUUAUCUCUGUUCCCCCUUUUCUGGGUUUUAUCUUAAAAGUGUGGAAAUAAGACUUCCUUAGGAGAACAAGUCAAAAUUAUGGCAGCUUAGGAAGCAUCAUUCUUAGGUCUGAAGGGAGCAGGAAGACCUUUGGCAAAUGCUGAAACGGAGAGUCGGAUGGGCGGGGGUGCUGCGGACCCCAUUAUUAACCUCAGGGGAGAACUUAAUUGGAAGUCAUAAAGUGGUUUAUUCAUUUGGAGAAAGCAAGAAGACAGACUCUUCCAUUCCUUCCAGGGUGGACAGUUGCUCGUGCCAAGGGAGACCUCAGGCUAAUGUUACAGGGUCCUGGCGGAGCCCAGAACCACAUCAGUGGACCCUUUCUGCAGAAACCUGUUCCUUGGCCGUCUGCUCUACUUCUCCCUCUUAGGAUUCCUUAAGGUUACCUUAAGGCCCUCUCAUGGUCACUGUCACUUUCAUGACAGAGCCCACAUUAGAGCAUCUCAAAAUCUGCCAAGGAUUCCUUCCCACAGGCCCUUGGCACCAGCCACAGGGCGAAGAGAAGAAUCAUUUGCAACCCAGACGGUUAGAACUAGGGGAUAACCUUUAGAUGCUGCUCAUUGAAGGAAUGUGUCUGUUGCACUGAUCUCAGACGGGUCCUGGGCAAAACUGGUAGUGUUUGAGCCACUAUUUUCAUGCGAAGUUGGAAUGUUAGAGGCAGAACUGCAAACGUUUCUGCUCUGGGUUUGGUCUCCUGCCUGCUCUAAUAACAGAGUGAUUCUUGGGUGAUGUCACAUACAAUAGGCCAAUGAUGUAGUGAGCCAAAUCAAACCGUACACUCUACUUCUUAUUUUGUCAUUCAUCUUUUCAAUUAUCCCAGGCAAGCCACAUUUCUUCUAGAAAGCAAAUUUCCUAAUCAAUAAGAGGAGGCCAUUCGUUGCAGGCUUGCCUCCUGGCUGUUAAUGAGGAAGAAUUAUUACAACAUAAAAACACUUAUGCAUAAAUAGUUUUGAUAUUAACCUUGAUUUUGUUGGACUGUGAUAUUCGACUAGAGUAAAAUUCUACUUUUAAGAGAAUUAUGCAAAAAAAAAAAGUUAGUUUAAUGAAAUAAAAAUGGCCAUUGACACCCAGUGACCAGGUCACGUUAAUUCUUCUUUUGUAACGACUUCUUUUGCAAAGCCCUCUUUUCCAUUUUUCUUAAACAGUCUUUGAUCAUGUUGAAUCUUUGCUCAGAAACCAUCAGCAGCUUUUUGCUGCCUCGAGGAAAAAUUCCUAAAUCCUUAAGUCCUUUCCACAGUUGGCUCCAUGGAACUUCAGGGCUUGCCCAUACUAUCCCUGGUAAUUUUCAAAUGUGUGUUAUUCGGCUUGUAUUGUUUCUCACACCUGGAACCCUUUUCCUUUUCAUUGGUUUAAAUGCUGCUACUUUUUCGAGGUCUGGGUUCCACUUAUAUCUUCAUUCAUCUACUAGAACAUACACGCCAGGAGGGCAGGGAUUAUUGUCUGUUCUGUUCACUGCUGCUCAACAGAACGUCUCCCGAAUGAUUAAAUGAAUGAAUGAAACCAACCCAUUACAAGUCCUAUUAGUCUUAUUUCCAAAUCUGCUAUUUCUCUCUACCUCUACCUUGUUCCAAGUCACUGACAUUUCCUGUGUGGACUAUUAACACAACAGCCUCCUAUCUUGUCUUUUUCCUUCCAUGUUGUAUACCCUUCACCCCAGUCCUUUCUCUACUGAACAGCCAGUGUGAUGCUUUUAAAAAUGUAAUCAGAUUUCAUCACUCUCCUGUUUAAGAUCCCUAAUUGGCUUCCUAUUGCCCUUAGGAUAAUGUUCCAGUUCCUGAAGUUGGUCUACAAGGCCCUAGAAGAUUUGGUCUCUGUAUUCCUCUCUACUUAUUCUCUUAUCACUGUUUCUCGGACAGUGAAAGGGGCCAGCCAGCAAAGGACUGGGAGAAGGACCUUUCAAGCAGCAGGAAGAGGCAGGGCAAAAACUCUGAUGUGGGAAUGUGCUUGGCAGUUUGAAGAACAUAAAGGAGGCCAGUGUUCCUGGAGCACAGUGAGUGAGAGAAAGAGGUCCAUGAUGAGGUCUGCGAGGUUAGCAGGGGUCAAAUCACAUGGGGACUAGACGAAUUAACAGUUCCACUCUGACCAAGAUGUCAACAAUUGUUUUUUCUAGAACUCUUUUCAGGACUGCACAAUAUUUUUUUCAGGAGAAAUUUCUUGACAAGCCUACUUGGGAUAAAGGCUGGGCUCCCAAGGGCCUGCAUGUGGGCUGAACUGUUCAGAGAGGCAAGGAAAAGAGUCUACCUAUAAAAUGGGAGAGGGAGGAUGGAGCAUGAGACAGCAAGGGAGAGAGGGGGAGGGUGGAAUGAAGUGGUGCUGGAAGAAGACUGCGCACUCCACAAGGUGACCCCUUCUGUAGAACCUUGAAAAUCUGUAGUAAAGGCUCCAAAAUAUGGCAAAAUGUCAGAUGAGGGGAUGUUUUUUGUAGGAGCUGGUAAAGUAGCUGAGUCACAGCGCAGGGGAGGACAGGAAGGCCAUGGGAGCCCAGGAGGGGCUUGGUAGAGAAAAUCAUGAGGAAGUACAUUGCAGAUUCUCCAGAAAUCAUGGGAAGAGCUCCAGACUUUUAAAAAAAGGUUGUAUCAUUGGUGUUUACACAGGUUUAAUCCGACAUCUGAGGGGCCACGGUCACCAAGCUAAUGUUGGGACAACAUCCCUCUGGAUGAUGAAACUAUAGCUUUGGUCAAUGGUGGGGCUGACUUUGAACCCACAUAUGUCUGAUUCCAACACUAUGCUACACUCUUGCCUGAGCUGAGCUUUUGCCAAGAAGAUGUGCAGCAUUGGGAGGUUAAAGAAAUGUUUUUGCUUGGUUUUAAAGAUUUCUAAGAAGAAUAUAUCAAGCAACAGUUGAAGGAGACACUGAACAUGCGGUGGAAAUAGUUGAUGAAGACAAACCUAGUAAAGGAUGCAUGCUGCUGCAGACAACCCCAAGCUCAAGCUUUAAGCACUUCAAAGUCUAUCAAAGGUUGAUCCUCCUACCUAAUGGUCUUGCCAGGCUUGAGAAAAGACCUUUAUCCAUACUCCAUGGAAGGAUGUGAUGAAAGAAUGAUGGGGUAACUGAGGUUACCUUACCUGUGCCAGCACAGCCUUUGGGCAGCCACAGAAGUUUGUGUCUCUAAAAAUAACUUAUGUUUAGUUUACAAAGCA